RNAcentral lists this ribosomal RNA (462 nucleotides) under uncultured bacterium. RNAcentral's name for it is "partial 16S ribosomal RNA". It matches the Rfam family "Bacterial small subunit ribosomal RNA", at positions 28 to 507 of the family's 1533-position model. The record is from RNAcentral.
GAUGAACGCUGACAGAAUGCUUAACACAUGCAAGUCAUUGGCGAAGCUGCGCUUGCGCAGUCUAGCCAAGGCGGACGGGUGAGUAACGCGUAAGGAACUUGCCCUGCAGACAGGGAUAACAGACGGAAACGACUGAUAACACCUGGUAUUGUCAGGCUGGCGCAUGCCGGCCUGAUGAAAGGAGACACUGCAGGAGAGCCUUGCGUCCUAUUAGCUAGUUGGUGGGGUAACGGCCCACCAAGGCGAUGAUAGGUAGCCGGCCUGAGAGGGUGAACGGCCACAAGGGGACUGAGAUACGGCACUUACUCCUACGGGAGGCAGCAGUGGGGAAUAUUGGACAAUGGGGGCAACCCUGAUCCAGCAAUUCUGUGUGCACGAAGAAGGUUUUCGGAUUGUAAAGUGCUUUCAGCAGGGAAGAAGAAAGUGACGGUACCUGCAGAAGAAGCGACGGCUAAAUACGUG